GGGGAAUAUUGGACAAUGGGGGCAACCCUGAUCCAGCGAUGCCGCGUGUGCGAAGAAGGCCUGCGGGUUGUAAAGCACUUUAGUUGGGGAAGAAAGUUCAUGAUUCGAAUAGGGUUGUGAGUUGACGUUACCCAAAGAAUAAGCACCGGCUAACUCUGUGCCAGCAGCCGCGGUAAUACAGAGGGUGCAAGCGUUAAUCGGAAUUACUGGGCGUAAAGGGCGCGUAGGCGGUUGUAUAAGUUAGAUGUGAAAUCCCCGGGCUUAACCUGGGAAUGGCAUUUAAUACUGUAUGACUAGAGUAGAGUAGAGGGAAGUGGAAUUUCCGGUGUAGUGGUGAAAUACGUAGAUAUCGGAAAGAACACCAGUGGCGAAGGCGGCUUCCUGGACUCAUACUGACGUUGAGGCGCGAAAGCGUGGGUAGCAAAC
RNAcentral lists this ribosomal RNA (426 nucleotides) under uncultured bacterium. RNAcentral describes it as "bacterial SSU rRNA". It matches the Rfam family "Bacterial small subunit ribosomal RNA", at positions 356 to 773 of the family's 1533-position model. The record is from RNAcentral.